CACAAGCGAUGAAAACACACACCCUUAAACAGCAUAUAAGACUCAAGAUCCAAGCACAACAGAGAUGUUGAAAUCAAACAGAGCUCUUCUUUAGGUGAAACUGGCAUUUACAACAACCGGAGUCACGGAAACAAAGAGAAACCACAGCACCGCAAAGUUACCGGGGGAAAAAAAGUUGCAGUCAGACUCGAUACAAGAACUCAGCCGACAGAGACCUAGACCGGCUACAAAUAGGUCGGAUGUCAGUUUCCAUUAUACAUUACCAGACGCAUAUACAAGAGCCUGUUAGUCAGUUCUUUUCAGUUAGUUGCAGGACCCUUCGCCAUGAGCCAGCCAGCAAACCGCUCUAUAGAGUUGAGAUGGUACCAAGCUGCAGCCUACUAUCCCUACUAGUCUCACCAGAGUUUGGUGCAUGCCGAGUACUUGAACUGAAUGAAGUUGGUCUGUGCUAAUAACGCGCUGGCUCACAUAGGCUCGGAUCCAAUGUAUGAAAGAAAUAUCUUAUCCUGUUGGACAAAUGAUAAUGCUUAUAUCACUGGUGCUACUCCACACAGCCGGGCACGGCCAGGGUUCAGUAGCGAGUCAGACAUUAUCCAUCCCUGU
RNAcentral lists this long non-coding RNA (603 nucleotides) under Triticum aestivum (bread wheat). RNAcentral describes it as "long non-coding RNA (TAES_LNC023939)". Lineage: Eukaryota; Viridiplantae; Streptophyta; Magnoliopsida; Poales; Poaceae. The record is from RNAcentral.